GGAGGGGUGGCAGAGCGGUUCAAUGCACCGGUCUUGAAAACCGGCGUCCGCAAGGACACGUGGGUUCGAAUCCCACCCCCUCCG
Molecule: transfer RNA, 84 nt
Filed under: Gemmatimonadota bacterium
Lineage: Bacteria; Pseudomonadati; Gemmatimonadota
Also listed under: 1 other name
Description: tRNA-Ser
Rfam family: tRNA
About the family: Transfer RNA (tRNA) molecules are approximately 80 nucleotides in length. Their secondary structure includes four short double-helical elements and three loops (D, anti-codon, and T loops). Further hydrogen bonds mediate the characteristic L-shaped molecular structure. tRNAs have two regions of fundamental functional importance: the anti-codon, which is responsible for specific mRNA codon recognition, and the 3' end, to which the tRNAs corresponding amino acid is attached (by aminoacyl-tRNA synthetases). tRNAs cope with the degeneracy of the genetic code in two manners: having more than one tRNA (with a specific anti-codon) for a particular amino acid; and 'wobble' base-pairing, i.e. permitting non-standard base-pairing at the 3rd anti-codon position.
Source: RNAcentral